RNAcentral lists this ribosomal RNA (1492 nucleotides) under uncultured bacterium. RNAcentral describes it as "16S ribosomal RNA". It matches the Rfam family "Bacterial small subunit ribosomal RNA". The record is from RNAcentral.
AGAGUUUGAUCCUGGCUCAGAUCGAACGCUGGCGGCAGGCCUAACACAUGCAAGUCGAGCGGAUGAAGGGAGCUUGCUCCUGGAUUCAGCGGCGGACGGGUGAGUAAUGCCUAGGAAUCUGCCUGGUAGUGGGGGAUAACGUCCGGAAACGGGCGCUAAUACCGCAUACGUCCUGAGGGAGAAAGUGGGGGAUCUUCGGACCUCACGCUAUCAGAUGAGCCUAGGUCGGAUUAGCUAGUUGGUGGGGUAAAGGCCUACCAAGGCGACGAUCCGUAACUGGUCUGAGAGGAUGAUCAGUCACACUGGAACUGAGACACGGUCCAGACUCCUACGGGAGGCAGCAGUGGGGAAUAUUGGACAAUGGGCGAAAGCCUGAUCCAGCCAUGCCGCGUGUGUGAAGAAGGUCUUCGGAUUGUAAAGCACUUUAAGUUGGGAGGAAGGGCAGUAAGUUAAUACCUUGCUGUUUUGACGUUACCAACAGAAUAAGCACCGGCUAACUUCGUGCCAGCAGCCGCGGUAAUACGAAGGGUGCAAGCGUUAAUCGGAAUUACUGGGCGUAAAGCGCGCGUAGGUGGUUCAGCAAGUUGGAUGUGAAAUCCCCGGGCUCAACCUGGGAACUGCAUCCAAAACUACUGAGCUAGAGUACGGUAGAGGGUGGUGGAAUUUCCUGUGUAGCGGUGAAAUGCGUAGAUAUAGGAAGGAACACCAGUGGCGAAAGCGACCACCUGGACUGAUACUGACACUUGAGUGCGAAAGCGUGGGGAGCAAACAGGAUUUAGAUACCCUGGUAGUCCACGCCGUAAACGAUGUCGACUAGCCGUUGGGAUCCUUGAGAUCUUAGUGGCGCAGCUANCGCGAUAAGUCGACCGCCUGGGGAGUACGGCCGCAGGUUAAAACUCAAAUGAAUUGACGGGGGCCCGCACAAGCGGUGGAGCAUGUGGUUUAAUUCGAAGCAACGCGAAGAACCUUACCUGGCCUUGACAUGCUGAGAACUUUCCAGAGAUGGAUUGGUGCCUUCGGGAACUCAGACACAGGUGCUGCAUGGCUGUCGUCAGCUCGUGUCGUGAGAUGUUGGGUUAAGUCCCGUAACGAGCGCAACCCUUGUCCUUAGUUACCAGCACCUCGGGUGGGCACUCUAAGGAGACUGCCGGUGACAAACCGGAGGAAGGUGGGGAUGACGUCAAGUCAUCAUGGCCCUUACGGCCAGGGCUACACACGUGCUACAAUGGUCGGUACAAAGGGUUGCCAAGCCGCGAGGUGGAGCUAAUCCCAUAAAACCGAUCGUAGUCCGGAUCGCAGUCUGCAACUCGACUGCGUGAAGUCGGAAUCGCUAGUAAUCGUGAAUCAGAAUGUCACGGUGAAUACGUUCCCGGGCCUUGUACACACCGCCCGUCACACCAUGGGAGUGGGUUGCUCCAGAAGUAGCUAGUCUAACCGCAAGGGGGACGGUUACCACGGAGUGAUUCAUGACUGGGGUGAAGUCGUAACAAGG